This 76-nucleotide transfer RNA is filed under the name Clostridiales bacterium. RNAcentral describes it as "tRNA-Asn". It matches the Rfam family "tRNA". Rfam says of the family: Transfer RNA (tRNA) molecules are approximately 80 nucleotides in length. Their secondary structure includes four short double-helical elements and three loops (D, anti-codon, and T loops). Lineage: Bacteria; Bacillati; Bacillota; Clostridia; Eubacteriales. The record is from RNAcentral.
UCCUCAAUAGCUCAGUUGGCAGAGCAUGCGGCUGUUAACCGCAGGGUCGUAGGUUCAAGUCCUACUUGAGGAGCCA